RNAcentral lists this ribosomal RNA (254 nucleotides) under uncultured bacterium. RNAcentral describes it as "partial 16S ribosomal RNA". It matches the Rfam family "Bacterial small subunit ribosomal RNA", at positions 524 to 776 of the family's 1533-position model. The record is from RNAcentral.
GACGUAGGGCGCGAGCGUUGUCCGGAUUUAUUGGGCGUAAAGAGCUCGUAGGCGGCUUGUCGCGUCGGCCGUGAAAACCUGCAGCUUAACUGUGGGCGUGCGGUCGAUACGGGCAUCACUGGAGUUCGGCAGGGGAGACUGGAAUUCCUGGUGUAGCGGUGAAAUGCGCAGAUAUCAGGAGGAACACCGGUGGCGAAGGCGGGUCUCUGGGCCGAUACUGACGCUGAGGAGCGAAAGCGUGGGGAGCAAACAGG